RNAcentral lists this ribosomal RNA (468 nucleotides) under uncultured bacterium. RNAcentral describes it as "partial 16S ribosomal RNA". It matches the Rfam family "Bacterial small subunit ribosomal RNA", at positions 28 to 507 of the family's 1533-position model. The record is from RNAcentral.
GACGAACGCUGGCGGCGUGCUUAACACAUGCAAGUCGAACGGAAAGGCCCUGCUUUUGUGGGGUGCUCGAGUGGCGAACGGGUGAGUAACACGUGAGUAACCUGCCCUUGACUUUGGGAUAACUUCAGGAAACUGGGGCUAAUACCGGAUAGGAGCUCCUGCUGCAUGGUGGGGGUUGGAAAGGUUCGGCGGUUGGGGAUGGACUCGCGGCUUAUCAGCUUGUUGGUGGGGUAGUGGCUUACCAAGGCUUUGACGGGUAGCCGGCCUGAGAGGGUGACCGGCCACAUUGGGACUGAGAGACGGCCCAGACUCCUACGGGAGGCAGCAGUGGGGAAUAUUGCACAAUGGGCGGAAGCCUGAUGCAGCAACGCCGCGUGCGGGAUGACGGCCUUCGGGUUGUAAACCGCUUUCGCCUGUGACGAAGCGUGAGUGACGGUAAUGGGUAAAGAAGCACCGGCUAACUACGUG